Molecule: ribosomal RNA, 253 nt
Filed under: uncultured bacterium
Lineage: Bacteria
Description: partial 16S ribosomal RNA
Rfam family: Bacterial small subunit ribosomal RNA
Source: RNAcentral
UACAGAGGGUGCGAGCGUUAAUCGGAAUUACUGGGCGUAAAGCGCACGUAGGCGGCUUGGUAUGUCGGGUGUGAAAUCCCCGGGCUCAACCUGGGAACUGCAUCCGAAACUGCCUUGCUCGAGUAUGGGAGAGGGAAGUGGAAUUUCCGGUGUAGCGGUGAAAUGCGUAGAUACCGGAAGGAACAUCAGUGGCGAAGGCGACUUCCUGGACCAAUACUGACGCUCAGGUGCGAAAGCGUGGGGAGCAAACAGG